Ochotona curzoniae (black-lipped pika) is the source of this 1102-nucleotide long non-coding RNA. RefSeq lists it as uncharacterized. NCBI's taxonomy places the organism in Eukaryota, Metazoa, Chordata, Mammalia, Lagomorpha, Ochotonidae. The record is from RefSeq and is a predicted model, not a curated record. The transcript has 2 exons.
GGUAACAUCUGAAAAGUAGUGUUUUUUGUGGUUUUUUUUUGUUUGUUUUAUAGUCUUCUAAUAAAUGUCUUAUGUCUUCAAAUUUUUGAAAAUUAACUUCAACUCACAUUGCUCUUACUAUUUCUUAAAGUUAAUCAAAAAUAGUGAAAUAUUUAAAUUCCCAUUCAUGCUUCUGAAACUGAAAUCAGUGAUUAUAUGUGAUUUAAAUUUGAAUACACUCUGGUUGCUACCACCUUUAAGUCAAAUUAAAAGUUAAUAUGUUCUUGUGCUUAGCAAUUAAAGUUGCUAUUCUUGUUUGUUAAUUUGAAUCACUUGAUCAAAAACAAAUUGUGUAACGAGGUAAACUUCUUUAAUAUUGUCCCCUAAUUUGCUGUCCUCUGUUGUUACCUCAGACAUUGUAAAGCUGUACAGUUAUGGCGACCCCAAAGAGAAAGCAUGAAAGAACCGUUAGAGUAGAGUUCAACACUUAAGGCAAGUAGACAAGCCAAAGACCUCUUAAGGAUCAGGCUUGAAGAGAAGGGAUGAGUUUGGGAAAAGAAAAAAUAAAGAAAAGCUGGAAGAAGGACAAGCCUAAUGGGAGACAAAGCCUCGCUUUACCUACAAAAGGGGGAAAAGGUUGUUUUCCAAAGUUAAAGAUAAAGCCAUCUGUCAUAUUUGGCCAAGCAUCUCAUGACAAGUCCUUCUGACAAGCACUUAAAGAGUUAAAGGUCAAGAUGAAGUUCAAUGAUGGCCAAGAUUAAAGGAGUCAUACCUGAUUGACCCAGUGCAAACAGCUGUAUGAAAUAGUACUAGACUCAGCAGGAUGCACAGCAAAAUAAGCUUGAAGUCACUAUUUCCGUCUCUUAAGGUAAGGCACAUUUUGCUUGCUUUCACAAGAACUAUUGGCAUUUCCUUUUUAUUUGAAACAAGUAUGUGGGCAACAGUAUAUUUGUUUUUAUUUUAAGAAUCUUUUUGACUUUCAACAUAGACUUGACUGAUUUUUAAUUUUGUUUUGUGAAGUUAAUUCUAAAUACUUGGGAAAUAGACUUUGUUAUAACUUGGUGAUUUAGUUAUAACAUCUUAUUUCAGUAAUAAUUUUAUAGUAUGUUUUCCAAAAACUACA